This is an RNA transcript of Scophthalmus maximus (turbot), 3631 nucleotides long. It is a transcript of the gene named DnaJ (Hsp40) homolog, subfamily C, member 28, with no coding region annotated. The transcript is spliced from 3 exons. Lineage: Eukaryota; Metazoa; Chordata; Actinopteri; Pleuronectiformes; Scophthalmidae. The record is from RefSeq and is a predicted model, not a curated record.
GAGGAAGAAGACGCCGCAGCAGGAAGUCACCAUAGGACGUCACCACAGCAACAACAGGACCAGGUGACCUGAUGUCUCCACCGUGCAGUCGGUCAUGUACGUAACGUCCAGGCCGUAAGUUCAUAUGCCACGAACAGGAAGUUGCCAGAAAUGAGUUGCACUUUCCACCUGCUGGUUUCCCGCAGCGACAUCUAUCGUGGCCAUUUCCUGCUCGUCCUGUCUCGACAAUGCUUGUUGCUCAGAGCACUCAGCUCUGCCCCCCGGAUCAGCCGCAGCCUGCAAGAGAGCUACAGGCUUCUGCAACUGCCCGAUGGGGGCCGCAGCAGUCCGGCGCAGGUGAAAGAGGCCUACCUUCGCCUGGCGAAGCUCUACCACCCCGACUCCGGGACUCCGACUUCAGAUGCAGCGCUGUUUGCGCGUGUUGAGGAGGCCUAUCGUGCUGUGCUGGCACAUCAGAGCAAGACUAAGCGGGCUGACUGGGGGAAGGAUGAGGAAGAUGAGGAUCAGUUCAAAGGUGCAGUGCUUCAACACAGACAGUACCUCAGCUACGAUGGUGUGGGCUCAGGCACGCCCAGCGAGCGUGAGCGGCAGUACCGGCAGAUUCGUGUCGACCGGGCAUCCGAGCAGGUUUUGAACUACCGGCAGAGGGAGCACGAGAGGGCGGCUGCUGCAGAGGGAGCGUUGGUGGAACGGGAUACGCGUCAGCGCAGCAAGAAGAUCAAGAUCACCCAGGCCAUUGAGCGGCUCGUGGAGGACCUGAUCCAGGAAUCCAUGGCCCGUGGGGACUUCAGGAACCUGAGUGGAGCCGGAAAGCCCCUCAACAAGUUCCAGCAUAAUCCGUUUGCCGAUCCGAUGACCCACAACCUCAACCGCAUCCUCAUAGACAAUGGUUACCAGCCGGCCUGGGUGGUGAUGCAACGCGACAUCCGAGAGGCCACAGCUCAGAUCCGAAAGAGGCUACUGGAGGGGAGGGCCAGGCUUGGCGACCCCAUGGCCCCCGGGGAGCACGGCCAAUGGGAUCAGCUGUGUGCAGCUGCAGGGGAGGAGUUGGCAAAACUUAACAAGACGGUGGACAAUUACAACCUCAUCGUACCGAUGCUCAACAUGCAAAUGGUUCACUUCAGUUUGUCCAGAGAAAUUGAGCGUGCCGCGAAAGGAGCACAGCAACGCAGGCUGGAGCAGAGGGAGAGGGAGAGGGAACGAGAGUGGAGGAAGGAGGAGAGAAAAAGAGACAACGCAGUUACUGAGCCCAAAAACACCAAACGAGGACUCGUGUCUUGGAUGCAGGAUUUAUUCAGAUGAAAACACUACAGCUCUAAAUCUAUGUGAACAUCAAAAAACUUAAACCAAUAAUUUUUGGCAAUAUUUCAGACAGACCUGUUCGCCUGCUGUAUAGUGUAACCAUCGUCUGAGUCGAUGGUUGCACUCUUUUACUCUUUUACAUCUGAACACAACAGUGGGUUAUUUUUAGGAUACAAGCUGUUUCUGUGAAAUUACUGAUCUUGAAAUGGGACCCUAACACUGUAGCUUUUGACAUUGUGACAUUUGAAGUUAAGGUGAUAAAAAAAUCUAACGUUUAUGUGUUGAGACCGUUACAUUAUUUGUGAUGCGGCAAACGUGUCUGUCCGCUGAUCCAGUGCUGCAGGGUUGCAGAUGACGACCGGUUCCCCGCUGCCAGCCCACACGCCCGCAGCCUCCCUGUGCAGGGCCCGGGCGACGGCCCUGGUCGGAGUCAUCACCUUGGUCCAGUCACGGGCAAUGUACUGGUGGUAUGGAUCAUGGGAGCUUGCCAGCUUCUUGGAGCGAAUGAAGCUGAGCAUGAUGCCGAAUGUGAAGAAGCUGAACAUGCCGACCACCAGGACGAUGUACACGAUUCCCUGAGACUGAGCGCGGGCCCAGGCCCUGGUCGUGUGGUGCACAGCCUGAUGGGCGGUGUCGUUCCGAGUUGCAGGCGGAGACAGAAUACUUGUGCCGUUGAGGCAGUGCUGGAGUAAGGACAGCAGGAGCGACUGCAGCUCGGUGGCGUUGAUGUUGGACAUGGCGAAUCCUCUGUUGGAUGCUCGGCAACCUGCAACUGAGGAGGAAGAAGAGACUUGACGUGCUCGUCAGCCAUAGCCAGGAAGAGGGUGCGGUGGAAGGUGCAGCGGUACGUCCCUGUGUCAUUGACGCUGACGUUGUGGACGUAAACGGCUCCUGUCUGAAUGUCACCGCUUCGCGUCCCAUGCCACUCAAGGCGCUUGCUGAAGUCUUCAUGCAGGAUCUCGGCACUGGGGUGGUCGUAGUGGAAAAUCUGAGAAAAAUCAAUUUAAUGAAUAGUCUUAUUACUCAGAGGAGGGAUCUAUACCCUCUUUUAGAUGUCCUGCUCUUCCCAGUAUCAAUUUAGUGCUGCAAUUUCUCUUCAUAUACACGUUUAUGCCCCACGUUCAUGUCCUCUCACACAGCAAGAACUUUUGGAGCCACUUUCUAUUGAUGCACCAGUUAUAAAGGCUUCUAUGAUCAGUGAGCCAUUACUAAUGCUUUAAAAAUCAUUUUUGGGUUGCUAGAUUAUGUCAUUGAUUCAUUGUGGACGCCUCCAAUGGACUGCUUGACAUAUUCAAUUUGAGUAUUUUCCUUUUUAGACAACAUAAUUCUUCAAAUCAACCCUUCUACUCAAUACUUUAUACCCUACAUUUACCUGAGGUACUUGUUAUUUUAUAGAUGACAAAACAUUCUCCUGCAGGUUGCAGAACAUCUGGACCUUAACAUUCAUAACUGACUGGACGGAUCAUUGUAAAACCCUUUAUUAAUGAUCCAUUAACAUUCAUAGUUGACUGAGUAACUCUAGCUUAUGAUCUAUUAUACAUCUAAAAAGCCAUUGCUUCAAUAACAGUUUAACUAUCAUUUAUAGCUGCAAAUAAGAGGAUUUAUUGGAAAGCAAGAAACAUUGUUGUUAAUCAUUUACAAACAUUCAUAACUUCAUAGUUUCGAGGGGCCUCCCUCGUGAAUUUAAGGGCUAGCACAGAGUCAGGCUGGCGGUGGAUAUUCCACAACCUGGCAACCUAAAAGUGGCUGUUAUUAACAACAAUUUAUCCAUUUACAGCAUUUUUAAACGGUGCCUUUUCAGAAAGGGGCACCAAUAUGUUAUUUGUGUGAAAGCAAUUUGUGUGUAAACAUGAAAUGGUAAGAUCUCACUUAAUCUAUACAUUUUGGAUGUGAUCAUGUCACCGCUUGUAAAUGUAAAGUCAUGUAACAUCUUUUUGGGAUGAAAAGGUUUUAUGGAGAGAUGGAAAAUUAAGAUGAAAAUGUAUAGAUGGAAAAAAGUUCUUCCUUCUUGAUACUCAGCUUCGACGGCACAGAAUCAGAGUUGCUUAAGGGCAUCGUGACAGUAGGAUAAAUCAUUUUUCAUUCACAAACCAAUAACUGAUUUAACAAACAACCCAAUACCAAAUGAAUCAAAAGACUUUGUUGGACUCACAUGCCUGAACUCCUCCUCUCCCAGUGGUUUGAAGUGCCAGUCGACGGUGGCUCUGGCAGAGACCUCCUCUCUUCUUUUACACGAGAUGCAGCCCAGAAGAAAUCCUUUUCCUGCCACGGCCUCAGUCAGGGAGUCCACCUCCGCACAGCCGCCAUGGCACUGGCACACUGCAGGAGG